This 312-nucleotide unclassified non-coding RNA is filed under the name Hevea brasiliensis (rubber tree). Lineage: Eukaryota; Viridiplantae; Streptophyta; Magnoliopsida; Malpighiales; Euphorbiaceae. The record is from RNAcentral.
GUUGCAUAUUUCUCAGAUGUUACCCUCACCCUGCAGCUCUCGUUUAGCUCUGUUUGCAAAGAAAGUAAAAGAAAUCACCUACUUGUCACCCAAUGACACUUUGAGCUGGCGCCUUUAUCAGUCCGACUUCAUUCAUCAAAAGUCUCACGUUCUCUGCAUCUUUCCAUCUUCCAACUGCAGAAUAGAUCUUUCCCAACAGUAUAUAGUUUCCUGUGUUCUCCGGCUCCAGCUUAAACAGCCACCUUGCAGACAAUUCUCCCAGUUCCACAUUUUCAUGUAUCACACAGGCACCAAGUAGUGCACCCCAGAUGG